This 469-nucleotide ribosomal RNA is filed under the name uncultured bacterium. Its description in RNAcentral is "bacterial SSU rRNA". It matches the Rfam family "Bacterial small subunit ribosomal RNA", at positions 335 to 802 of the family's 1533-position model. The record is from RNAcentral.
ACUCCUACGGGAGGCAGCAGUGGGGAAUAUUGCACAAUGGGCGCAAGCCUGAUGCAGCCAUGCCGCGUGUAUGAAGAAGGCCUUCGGUUGUAAAGUACUUCUAGCAGUGAGGAAGGUGGUGUCGUUAAUAGCGGCAUCAUUUGACGUUAGCUGCAGAAGAAGCACCGGCUAACUCCGUGCCAGCAGCCGCGGUAAUACGGAGGGUGCGAGCGUUAAUCGGAAUUACUGGGCGUAAAGCGCAUGCAGGUGGUUUGUUAAGUCAGAUGUGAAAGCCCGGGGCUCAACCUCGGAAUUGCAUUUGAAACUGGCAGACUAGAGUACUGUAGAGGGGGUAGAAUUUCAGGUGUAGCGGUGAAAUGCGUAGAGAUCUGAAGGAAUACCGGUGCGAAGGCGGCCCCCUGGACAGAUACUGACACUCAGAUGCGAAGCGUGGGGAGCAAACAGGAUUAGAUACCCUGGUAGACUGUCA